This 433-nucleotide unclassified non-coding RNA is filed under the name soil metagenome. RNAcentral's name for it is "partial contains 5.8S ribosomal RNA, internal transcribed spacer 2, and large subunit ribosomal RNA". The stretch from base 1 to 120 matches the Rfam family "5.8S ribosomal RNA", at positions 35 to 154 of the family's 154-position model. The record is from RNAcentral.
GAUGAAGAACGUAGCGAAAUGCGAUACGUAAUGUGAAUUGCAGAAUUCAGUGAAUCAUCGAAUCUUUGAACGCAUAUUGCGCUCUCUGGUAUUCCGGAGAGCAUGCUUGUUUGAGUAUCAGUAAACACCUCAACUUCCAUAUCUUUUUUUGAAAUGGGAGUUGGACUUGAGUGAUCCCAACGCUUUUCCUCACCGAAAAGUGGCGGGUUACUUGAAAUGCAGGUGCAGCUGGACUUUUCUCUGAGCUAUAAGCAUAUCUAUUUAGUCUGCCUAAAAAACAGAUUAUUACCUUUGCUGCAGCUAACAUAAAGGAGAUUAGUUCUUGUGCUGACUGAUGCAAGAUUCACAAAGACAGCUUCGGCCGACUUUGUAAACUCGAUCUCAAAUCAAGUAAGACUACCCGCUGAACUUAAGCAUAUCAAUAAGCGGAGGA